CAUGAGUUGUCUUGGACCCGUGACUGCUUGGAGGACCCCCGGCCUCCGUGCGGCCGACUCCCGGCGCCCGUGUCCCAUCGCUCGUGCGGGCAUCCCGUGCCUGCUGCGUUGAGAAGUGCUUGCGUGCUGCUACCCGUCCCACGGGAAGCCGUGCUCGAUACACGUUGCCUUCGUCGAGCUCACCCCCCGGGGUGCGGCUCGUCGGCUCGAGAGCGCCCGCGGCGUUUGCCUCGUGCCGCUGUCGGCCUAUGGCCGGCGGCACCGAGGAACACCUCGCUGGCGCUUUUGGUCUCGGAUGCUGGCUCACGCUGAAGGCCGGAGACGCGUUGGCGUCACGCGCCCAAGAAUCGGUCCGCCCGAAUGAACGACGGCCAGCCCGGCACGACGCCUCCGCGCGGAGGCCGGCGCUGGCCCGUCUGCGAGGACGUGCU
This 431-nucleotide unclassified non-coding RNA is filed under the name Zea mays. Its description in RNAcentral is "partial external transcribed spacer". Lineage: Eukaryota; Viridiplantae; Streptophyta; Magnoliopsida; Poales; Poaceae. The record is from RNAcentral.